UGGGUUGAUUUAUGCAAACUGUGCAGUGC
Molecule: non-coding RNA, 29 nt
Filed under: Homo sapiens (human)
Lineage: Eukaryota; Metazoa; Chordata; Mammalia; Primates; Hominidae
Source: RNAcentral